Ribosomal RNA from Cricetulus griseus (Chinese hamster), 92 nucleotides. The record is from Ensembl. Lineage: Eukaryota; Metazoa; Chordata; Mammalia; Rodentia; Cricetidae.
GUCUACCACCAUACUGCCCUCAACACACUUGAAUUUGUCUAGUCUCAGAAGCUAAAAAAGAUCAGGUCUGAUUAGUACUCAUAUGGGAGAGC